UCCACGCCCUAAACGAUGUCAACUAGGUGUUGGGGAAGGAGACUUCUUUAGUACCGCAGCUAACGCGUGAAGUUGACCGCCUGGGGAGUACGGUCGCAAGAUUAAAACUCAAAGGAAUUGACGGGGACCCGCACAAGCGGUGGAUUAUGUGGAUUAAUUCGAUGCAACGCGAAAAACCUUACCUACCCUUGACAUGUCAGGAAGAUUCCAGAGAUGGGAUUGUGCCCGAAAGGGACCUGAACACAGGUGCUGCAUGGCUGUCGUCAGCUCGUGUCGUGAGAUGUUGGGUUAAGUCCCGCAACGAGCGCAACCCUUGUCAUUAAUUGCCAUCAUUCAGUUGGGCACUUUAAUGAGACUGCCGGUGAUAAACCGGAGAAGGUGGGGAUGACGUCAAGUCCUCAUGGCCCUUAUGGGUAGGGCUU
Molecule: ribosomal RNA, 422 nt
Filed under: uncultured bacterium
Lineage: Bacteria
Description: bacterial SSU rRNA
Rfam family: Bacterial small subunit ribosomal RNA
Source: RNAcentral